CACAUAGUCUUUACAAUAAUCAAAGUGCAAAAACGAAACGUAUAUAAACGCGGCCUUCACAGGCAGCCGACUGGGGGUUGCCGCUAGCCCACGCCUAGAACUCGUCAAAGUCCUGGAACUCCUGGAUAUCCGCCUCGACGCCUUCUUCUCUACCUGAGCAUAGAUUGCACCAAAGGCAACCUGGUGUUUUGUGAAAGCAAGGGUGAGUACACAUCAACGUACUCAGCAAAUGUCCCGUUUGGCUGUAGUGGACUAGCUUUAUGUGGGGUUAAGUCAAGCAGUUGCUUUUAGUUGGUCAGAUUAUUAUUACUAGUAGAGAGAGCCAAGUUUUAGUAUUAACCACGUUAUUAACCCGAAUGUACCCUUUCCAAACGGAAAGAAUAACACUUACCAUCACCAGAGUCAAUACCAAAACCAUCAUUCUCAUUGCCACCUGUAAGCCGAACAUCUCUGAUCAAGUAUCACUAAUCAAUGGAGCUCCCUUGGCUACUCAUAACCGCGAGCACUGUUGAUAUAUCAGUUUCAUAAUACUCUGCAGAGGUUGUGCACUUUACCCACAAGCCAUGAUUCUCUCUUGCCUCGUGCCGAUCAAACCCUUAAACACUACAAAGGUGAGUAGGCAGGGUCUCACUACGUAGCCUUUACAAAGAUUCCCUGGGGCUGUAGCCGCCCGUUAGGUUUCCUAAAUGCUCCGCACUCCUCCCCAAGGGGGCGAACCCAAGCUUGGCAGAGCGAGCCGCAUACACCGAGCCCCAUUAACGGCACGACGGCUAAGUGAACUACACCCCGGUUCCUCUAAUUAUUCAACUAAGGGCAUCCCAUUUCACCCUCAUGGUUGCACUGUUUUCCCGGGCGAUCAUCCAACGAACAGGUCCUUACGGAGAGGCACUCGAGAAACCGCUCGAGCCCCCUUGAAUACCACAAGUAUAACAUCAUAAUAGAGGAGGGGAAACAGCGUAUCAUUGAUAAUUCUCAUCAUGUUCAUUGAUUAAAGUUGAGCAAUAGCAUAAAGCUACACAAUAAUAAUCCAACCCAAAUAGGUAAACAAGGACAUGGAUAACAAAAGCUAGUCAAUUCUUAAGUUGAUCAUGGCAUGCGGGUUGAUGAAUUAUACAGUAAAUGGGACAUAAUAGGUCAGAGGACACUUGUCUUCACCAAACAUAUGCUUAGGAUCUUCAGCCUCGUAGAACUCGGAGAGUUCAGUCUCUUGGUCGCCGAAGCUUGACUGUCGAUUCCUCGAAGCUCGGAAAUGGAUCACAGUCUAUUCGCGUCACCCAGCGAAUACCAACAGGCACAAACAAACAGACAUAUGUAUAUGCAUAAGAACAUUACACCAUUCAAAUAAAAAUAUAAUAAAACAUGCAAAAUGAAAUAGAGUGCGCUACUAUAGUCACGCGAGGAAAAGAAACACGAUAGUCGGAGCUACGGUCGAGAAGUUAGCGCGUUUACUCUAAAAAUAUUAGUUAGAACAUUUGAUUCGAUGUUAUCAAAUAUAAAUUAUACCUAAUAUUUAGUUUCGCUUAACCUGUUACACUAGCAGCUGUUAGUUAACUAGUAAUUUAAUUAAAGCGAGAGAUUAUAAGCGAUGCGAAUUUACGAUACAUGAAACAACACGACAGCGUGCAGAAGGACGCUCGGACACGCACGACCACACGCGAUUUAGCGCGCGGACGACGCCUGAAACAGCAUGACAGUGCGCAAACGACGCGCGGACACGCGCGACAUAGCACGCGGACAACGCGCAGCGAUGCGCACGAUCCGCACGCGCGACACGCGGGGACGACUAACCAACAUCACCUUUAUGAUAAACAAGUAUUAAUUAAAAACAUUCGAGUAGGCAUAAUCUUAUUAACAUGUAUUUGUAAAGCAGAACUAAAAUUAUAAAUUGAUUUAAGUAGAUUGCUACUUUACUAAUUAUAGGAUAAGUAAAUAAAUAAUCACUUAAUUAACUAAAACAUGUGGGCAACGUCGUUACAAUUCUAACGCAACCGGAACAAAACAAAACAUAUUUAUAACACAAGAGCUAACAUAUAAUUAGCAAUUCACAGAUUUAAAGUGAUGUGGCGGAUUCCUAUUGGUUGCAAACAAGUCACAACUAGGCCACACAAAACUUAGCCACGGAGAAUUGGAAAGGGGUGGGAUCGAGCAUGGCAUUUCUUCCUCCUCUCUGCAACUGCCCACGCACACAGGAACAUAGGUUGCCAUGGGGACUGCAGGGGCUAGCUCGGCCUGAUCUUCACACUCGGAGGGAUGGGGCUUGCUACGCCCGCCGGCUGGCAGGAGCACCGCGCGCUGGAGGGGACGGUCAGCAAGGGCCGCUUGGGCUGUGCGCGGGCGCCCUGCUGCCUGUGGCUAGGGGCGAGCUCGCAGGCCAGGAAGAGCGACCAUGGGGCCAGGGCGGGGGCGAGGCAGGGGCCAGGGCGGGGGCGAGGCAGGGGCCAGGUGCGCGGGGCCUGCACGCCGGGGCGCUGGGCUCGCUGCGCACUGCGGGCCGCGACGGCAGCAGGCCAUCGGCCAUGCAUAGGGACAGGGAGCAGGGACCGGACGCCUAGCGCGUGGGCAAGCCGCCGAGCUAGCGCGCCGCCACGCCGGCCGACCGCCGCGCCGCGCCCUGCGCGGGGGGUCACACUCGACCGUGGAUCUAGCGCGGGGGAGGGCAGCCAUGGCCAGGGGCGAGCCAGCCGAGGGGCAUGGGCGGGCUGGAGCCGCGCCCGCGACUGGUUGCUGCGACCUAGGGGAUGAAGGGCGCCUGGGGAGCUGGGCUGCGCGCUGGCCGGUGGGGAGGCCGCGACAAGGGCGAGCCGCCGCGCAGGGCCUCCUGGCCGCGACGCGGGGCGGGACCGUGGGACUUGGCCGCAUAACGGAGGGAAAGGGAGCCACGCGAGGUAUCACCGAGAGGAAACGAACCGCUCGGCCGGGGGACAGAGAGGACUGCUCGCCGGGGAAGGAGAACGGCGCGACGCGGGGCUGCAGGGAGGGUCCGUCGAGGGGGAGAGAGGAUGGGGAAGGGAAGAGAGGGGAGAGGACUCACCGGGAACCGCCAUGUGCAGGGACGACAGCUUCUGCGUGAUUUGGAUCUGGGGAAGGAGACUAGAGGUUAU
RNAcentral lists this long non-coding RNA (3101 nucleotides) under Zea mays. Its description in RNAcentral is "long non-coding RNA (ZMAY_LNC001757)". The record is from RNAcentral. Lineage: Eukaryota; Viridiplantae; Streptophyta; Magnoliopsida; Poales; Poaceae.